CACACCUUCUUUUCUUCACUUUCUUCCUUGCUAUUGGAUUCUACAAGGCUUCAACAGCCUCAAGGAUAAUAACAGCUGAGGAGAAAACAACAGCAUCAAGGAUAACAACAGCUGAGGAGAAAACAACAGCCUCAACGACAAUAACAGCUGUGGAAACAAAAACAGCUGUGGAGACAACAACAGCUGUGGAAACAAAAACAGCUGUGGAGACAACAACGUCUGUGGAAACAACAUCUGAAACUCUUUGCUGUCCACAGAAGGAAUUUCAUACAGCAAUAAGCUUUCCAGGAACUCGUCAAUCAGAGGUUGUGAGUUAUCCUUGCCUCACUAAAGUAACAGCUGCUCCUUACAACAUUAACUCUGCUUUCACUGUAUUUGAUGGAGAAAUCAUAACAUGUGGAGGAGUGUACAAAAG
Long non-coding RNA from Eurytemora carolleeae, 415 nucleotides. RefSeq lists it as uncharacterized. NCBI's taxonomy places the organism in Eukaryota, Metazoa, Arthropoda, Copepoda, Calanoida, Temoridae. The record is from RefSeq and is a predicted model, not a curated record. The transcript is spliced from 4 exons.